GUGGGGAAUAUUGGACAAUGGGCGAAAGCCUGAUCCAGCCAUGCUGCGUGUGUGAAGAAGGUCUUCGGAUUGUAAAGCACUUUAAGUUGGGAGGAAGGGCAGUAAGUUAAUACCUUGCUGUUUUGACGUUACCAACAGAAUAAGCACCGGCUAACUUCGUGCCAGCAGCCGCGGUAAUACGAAGGGUGCAAGCGUUAAUCGGAAUUACUGGGCGUAAAGCGCGCGUAGGUGGUUUUGUAAGUUGGAGGUGAAAUCCCCGGGCUCAACCUGGGAACUGCCUCCAAAACUGCAUGACUAGAGUACGGUAGAGGGUAGUGGAAUUUCCUGUGUAGCGGUGAAAUGCGUAGAUAUAGGAAGGAACACCAGUGGCGAAGGCGACUACCUGGACUGAUACUGACACUGAGGUGCGAAAGCGUGGGGAGCAAACAGGAUUAGAAACCCCGGUAGUCC
Molecule: ribosomal RNA, 450 nt
Filed under: uncultured bacterium
Lineage: Bacteria
Description: partial 16S ribosomal RNA
Rfam family: Bacterial small subunit ribosomal RNA
Source: RNAcentral